This 69-nucleotide transfer RNA is filed under the name human gut metagenome. It matches the Rfam family "tRNA". From Rfam's summary of the family: Transfer RNA (tRNA) molecules are approximately 80 nucleotides in length. The record is from RNAcentral.
CGAAGUGGCUCAGUUGGUAGAGCAACGCACUCGUAAUGCGUAGGUCGUGGGUUCGAGUCCCAUCUUCGG